CCAGACUCCUACGGGAGGCAGCAGUGGGGAAUAUUGCACAAUGGGCGAAAGCCUGAUGCAGCGACGCCGCGUGAGUGAAGAAGUAUUUCGGUAUGUAAAGCUCUAUCAGCAGGGAAGAAAAUGACGGUACCUGACUAAGAAGCCCCGGCUAACUACGUGCCAGCAGCCGCGGUAAUACGUAGGGGGCAAGCGUUAUCCGGAUUUACUGGGUGUAAAGGGAGCGUAGACGGCGAAGCAAGUCUGAAGUGAAAACCCAGGGCUCAACCCUGGGACUGCUUUGGAAACUGUUUUGCUAGAGUGUCGGAGAGGUAAGUGGAAUUCCUAGUGUAGCGGUGAAAUGCGUAGAUAUUAGGAGGAACACCAGUGGCGAAGGCGGCUUACUGGACGAUAACUGACGUUGAGGCUCGAAAGCGUGGGGAGCAAACAGGAUUAGAUACCCCAGUA
RNAcentral lists this ribosomal RNA (444 nucleotides) under uncultured bacterium. RNAcentral's name for it is "bacterial SSU rRNA". It matches the Rfam family "Bacterial small subunit ribosomal RNA", at positions 331 to 792 of the family's 1533-position model. The record is from RNAcentral.